UUCCGACGGGACGCAGCAGUGGGGAAUAUUGCACAAUGGGGGAAACCCUGAUGCAGCGACGCCGCGUGAAGGAUGAAGUAUUUCGGUAUGUAAACUUCUAUCAGCAGGGAAGAAAAUGACGGUACCUGACUAAGAAGCCCCGGCUAACUACGUGCCAGCAGCCGCGGUAAUACGUAGGGGGCAAGCGUUAUCCGGAUUUACUGGGUGUAAAGGGAGCGUAGACGGCAGCGCAAGUCUGGAGUGAAAUCCCAUGGCUUAACCAUGGAACUGCUUUGGAAACCGUGCAGCUGGAGUGCAGGAGAGGU
This 305-nucleotide ribosomal RNA is filed under the name uncultured bacterium. RNAcentral's name for it is "bacterial SSU rRNA". It matches the Rfam family "Bacterial small subunit ribosomal RNA", at positions 335 to 658 of the family's 1533-position model. The record is from RNAcentral.